RNAcentral lists this long non-coding RNA (537 nucleotides) under Cricetulus griseus (Chinese hamster). Its description in RNAcentral is "lncRNA (ENSCGRG00015029096.1)". Lineage: Eukaryota; Metazoa; Chordata; Mammalia; Rodentia; Cricetidae. The record is from RNAcentral.
GUAAGAAGUAUCACAGUGAAUUCCACUAGUUUGUACAAGUAAUAUUUAUGUUACUGACAAAAAUAAUCAUGAGACUCUCUUGGCAUCCCCAUAUCCAGUGAAAAAUACGAUCAGUAACUGUAGCUAAUGUGGCCUGACAAGAGCGAGGCAGCCAUGGGCUUAUACUGCUCAGCAUGGAAGGUCUGAGUCACCUUAUUAGGCUAGAAAAGGUGCCGAAGGAUCGUGAGGGAAAUCUAAUAUUGGUGGUGGAAGGAGCUGAUAAAUGUCAAGUGCAGCUCCAGACCAGUUGCAGUAGCGAAGGCUGUCUUGUUUUAUCAGGUCACAUGUAGAGACUGGCUGAAGGCCACCUUGAAGCCUGAGAGGAAAAGAGAAGAAAAGGAGGAGUAUGCAGCUCGGACUGCCAACAAGGAAAUUAUUUUUGAAGGAUAGUUGAAAUGAACACAAAGUAGAAGAAAAAAUUUAGAAGGAAACCACAAUUUCGCAGGAAGUCUUAAAGAAGUAAACACCAUGCCCUUCCGCCCCUGGCAUAUUCAUAAA